Centropristis striata (black sea bass) is the source of this 301-nucleotide long non-coding RNA. RefSeq lists it as uncharacterized. The transcript is spliced from 3 exons. The record is from RefSeq and is a predicted model, not a curated record. NCBI's taxonomy places the organism in Eukaryota, Metazoa, Chordata, Actinopteri, Perciformes, Serranidae.
GGUUGACCACUUGACUUGUGAGAGUUUGAGGAGUUGUUCCCCCUCCGUCCAUUUUCAAGGACUUGCUCUCUUACUGCUUCCGCUUCACCACUUUUUGGCUACUGAGACGUCUUUGAUUUGUUGAGUUCAUUCAUUCAUUCAUCAUCUACCGCUUAUCCUGUACAGAGAGCCAAUCACUCUGUCCCCUUUUGAAGACCUGCUUUGUCUCCUCCAUCAUUCAUUGGGCCACUUUUGGGUUCCUGAUCUUAUUUCAUGUGAAGUUCUUCUUUCUAUGAUUCUUGAGAGAGAGAGAGAGAGAGAG